Leopardus geoffroyi (Geoffroy's cat) is the source of this 2018-nucleotide long non-coding RNA. RefSeq lists it as uncharacterized. The record is from RefSeq and is a predicted model, not a curated record. The transcript is spliced from 2 exons. Lineage: Eukaryota; Metazoa; Chordata; Mammalia; Carnivora; Felidae.
UAGCCCUAAGUUUGUUCUCUGUACUUAAGAGUCUCUCUUAUGGCUUGCCUCCCUCUGAUGCACACCGGGUUUUGUUCUAUGUAUUUCAUAUCAGACUAUUCCAGUGGUCACAAGAGGUAGGAUUUCUUUGAAGAAAACCAAUAACCAACAGAUGGGGUCAACGUGCCCCUUUGAUCCUUUUUCUACAGCAAUGGUAUCACCUCGUGUGAACUACCCCUUACUUCGCUUUCCUUCUACAAGAAAUGUUUAGCAGCCAUCCGACCAACUGUUCAUUGAUUUGCAAACAUCUAUUCCAGAUCAACAGAGCCUGUUCCUCUCACGGGGGAAGGUGGGGGACAUCCUAGGUGUUCUCCAGUUUCCAUUAGCGAUGCCCUUGGGCAUGCAUGAAGAUAUGUUGCAGGCACCUCCGGUGGAGAGGCUCCUGCUUGUUGGGGAUGAACUGGGUGACCGGUCACUGAAUUGAUGCACCCUCUUGGAAUGCUCACCAGAUCCGUGCCCCGCAGUAGGGGCAGCUGGAGAAGGGGCUCCCACAUUUACAGAAGAGACACUUUGUUCCAAGUUCCGACUCUGGGACAGCGACAAACCCCCACAGCCAAAACACUCUGCAGCUGUGUCCUUUGGAGCAAGGAACGAGAGCUUCUCUGCUGACCUCACCUCACCCCAGAGGCGUGUCCUCUGUGUUCACCCAGGUUGGACUCAGGCAGGCGACAGACAUGUGCGGCACCAGCCACGUCCCCCCAGUGGCCCUGCCCACGGCAGCACGCCAUCCAUCACGCCACAGUCAAGACGCCAGCCAGCAGCCAGGCCGCCACGACAAGCAAAAUGAGGCGGGCACCGCUGGCUCCUGUCAAGGCCUCCCGUGCACCAGCAGCCUUCAUGUUAAUGGGAGAAGUUGACUGAGACUAUUUGACGCAGUUGCUGGAAACUAAACAGAGCAGGAGAAUGAUAAGCAAAGCUCUUAAUUAAAAGCACAUUUAUACAAGGUUCAGCCUGGCAGGAAAAUGACAAAGGCAGUUAAAAUUUUAAAAUCAAGCCAUUUUCUCUUGAGAGAUUUCUGCCGGACCCUGGUGGAUUCGGGAUGCUGGGUUUUCUCUUCCAACAGAGCCUGAACAUCUGAGCCGGGGUGAGCCAAGUGUGAGCUCCCUGGCUGUUUUCAAAUAAGUGUAACUUUUCCCCCAAAGUGAUUCCACUUUCUGGGGCCAAUGGCAAGAGCGAGGCGUGCUAGGCAUGGGCCUGGAUGUGGCCCCCUCCAGAAACACAAGGAUGGAUGUGGAAAGUACGGGGUGACUCUCUGUAGGAACAAGGGACCUUUGAUAUGCCUCCAUGAAAAUGGCUUCUUUGAGAAGACGGUCUUAAGAGCGGGUCACGGCGGCAGACGAAGUCACCAGGAAAGCCUGGGUGGAGAAAAGUGAAACAUUACAAGUUGAGAGCCGUCCUCCUCUCUUUGAAAAAAGAACUGUACGAAUCCUUUGUAAUUCCAGAAGGAAGACCUGGGGCCGAUGGGGAAACUACAGAAGGGAGGAUUUCCAAUUAACAGAAGAACUUUCCAAGGAGUAUUGCUCAAAUAGGAAACCACAGGCAGUUCAGCCUGCCUCGGGUUGUGCUGGAAGAGACCACAGCCCGUGUCUUGGUGGUACUGAGGUGGGGGGGGGGGGGCGUGUCGCACACUGGGGGCAGGACCUGGGGACUAAGUAAACACCUGCCGUGUUCUAAAAAUUCUCGGAUUCCGCAUCAUUGCGUAACACUCUGUAGAAACAUGUAUUUAUUGCUCAGAAAUUUGCAAAACAAUUGUUCUUGGACAUUUUACUGUUUAUUUGUCAAAUCCAUUUCUGAAUGAGAAUCCAUUUGGUAAGGCAAAGGCAUUUGAACGCUCUCUGCUGGUCUAAGAACUUCAUAUUUCCUCAGUGAAUCAUUAUAAUCUGUGCACAUGGACAGAAUUCUCGCUCCUGGCGCCAAAAAGUACAAUCAACCAAGGGAGAGUGUUUCUUAAAUAAAAGUGGUGUUUCUAGUUGGCAAAA